This is a long non-coding RNA of Cercocebus atys (sooty mangabey), 2704 nucleotides long. RefSeq lists it as uncharacterized. The record is from RefSeq and is a predicted model, not a curated record. The transcript has 6 exons. Lineage: Eukaryota; Metazoa; Chordata; Mammalia; Primates; Cercopithecidae.
CUCUCCAAAUUGCUCCUGGGGAUAACAUCACUAUUGUAAAACCUAAGGUCAGUGCUUGAGAUAUUUUACAGACCCUUCUCUCUCCAUGAAUCAGCUGACACCACCCAGACCAGUAAUGUGUCUCAACCAGUUCUGCCAUCCCACCCAGGAAGAGAAGACACCAAGAAGACCUCACUUGGACCCCCAUCUCCAAGCUGACCAAUUAGCACUCCCCACUUCCCGAGUCUCUAACCGCCAAAUUAUCUUUAAAAACUCCGAUCCCGAAAUGCUCGAUUUGAUAAUAAUUUUGAGUAAUAAUUUUUUGAGUAAUAAUUUGAGACUGAUUUGAGUAAUAAUAAAACUCCAACCUCCCGCACAGCCGACUCUGCGUGAAUUACUCUUUCUCAUUGCAAUUCCCCUGUCUUGAUAAAUCGGGUCUGUCUAGGCAGGGGCAAGGCGAACCCGUGGGGUGGUUACAAAACAACUUGAACCUUUUGGCUUUUGAAGCAUAUGUGAGGGUUUGCGUGGGGCUCCUUACUGGAGAACGUGCCACUUCCCUUGGACUAGAACCUCACUAGCUCGGUUUUCAAAACCUCCUGCAAAGGCUGUGUAUGCUAAAGGAUGACAUCUAUCUUGAAAUGCAAACGGUUCGCAUCAGUUCAAGGCUUCACAAACUACCACAGCUCCCCACUGGCUUCAGAAAAGUUCAGAACUAUGUGGAUAUUUGUAAUGCCGCUGCUUCCCACCCCUGCUCCCCCGCUCCAAGCUCCACCUCAUUACUCAGGGCUAAAAACAAAGUAAGUUAAUAUUAUAACAUACCCCUCCAUUUCACUUCCUCAGCUCCUCACUACUGUUCCCCUAGUCCUCCCUAUCCCAUUCCCUCUGUCUCCUUCAUUUCCUCAGCUAGUUAACUUCAGUGCCUUUUCUAAGAUAAAGGGGGUAUGACCUUUAUCUUAGGAUUCAGGAUUAAAGCCCUUUCCACCAUUGAAAGGUUAUUAAAUUCUGCUCCUCUCCCCUCCUGCAGCACCUAGUAAUUAGCGCAGUCUGUCUCACAGAGGGUGCUUGGUAAAUGAAUGAAAAAACCCAACACACACCCUGGAAACAGGUGUGCACGUACAACUCAAUCCACGCAUGCGCGGAGGCAGAGCCCCAGGACCGCGAGACUAUCCGCACAGCUUCUCUUUAGGCCCCACAGCCAGAACUCCAAAUUGCCUAGUAUCAACCCAUGCACUCUCUAAUCCGGCGCCACACGCCGGGCCUUCCCCACCAUCUCAUCUGCUUGGGAACGUAAAGGGUUCUGUGGGGCAGCUGCAGCUUUUGUGCCCAUCUGUCUCCAGAGCUUCCCAUCUCUGGAACGCGGGAGGGAACAGAGCUCUAGCCUGAAUAACUGAGCCCGGCCCGGCAGUUCCCGAGAUUCACCAGAGAAUAAGCCUGAUGGGAAGUCUGGAGAUAACAGGACACCCAACCAGCAGGUCCCGGUGUGGUUCCGCUCCUGUGUUCUCAUUAUUCAGCUCCCACUUAUGAAUUUUGGAAGAACUGACAUCUUGACAAUAUUGAGUCUUCCUACUCACAAACAUGGAACAUCUUUACUUAGUUCUUUUGUGAUGUCUUUCAUCAGGAAUUCACAAGCCCAGACAGAAAUCAAGAAGAGAGAAAGUAGCUGCACAUCAUGAUGAAAGGAAUUUUUACGGAAAAUGAAGGAAUUAUUAAUGGCCAUCUUUGCAGAGAAUCUUCGACGGGCACUGAGAUGGUUAAUUUUGUGUGUGAACUUGACUAAGCACAGGAUGCUCAAAUAGCUGGGACCUCCUGAUUCUUAGGCCUUCAGACACAGACUGGAAUCUACAGCAUUGGCUCUCGGGCUAUCCAACCUUCAGACUACAUGACCAGCUUUCCUGGGUCUCCAGUUUGCAAUCAACCUACCCUGGAACUUUUCAGCCUCCAUCAUUGCCUGAGCCAAUACUUUAUAAUAAAUAUGUAUCUUCUUCUUGGUGCUGUUUCUCUAGAGAACCCUAACUAGCAUAGGCACCAAACACCCAUUUUAAUAAUCCACUUGUCUUCAGAUCACAGCAAUAUCUACUCAAGAGAUACAGACUCCAUUGAUUUCUGGCCACAGGAGGGCAGAAGAGUCAAUAGGUAUUCUUUGGCCUUCCUCCCAGGAGGGAGGUGUCAAAGAAAUUCAGAGUGAUCUGUACGGCCCUAUCUGAUCUUUGGAAUCAUUUAUUUCUACAGGCUGUUUGCUUUUAAGGUAUCAAUAGCUGUCAAAAUCCCUCUUCUUUGCCAUCAUAAAAUCCCAAACUAGGGUUGAAAUAUUAGCAAAGAGAGUAUAUGUUUAAGAAAUUGUUUCUGAUACUGAUGACCCUGUUGUUAUAUAUCCCAAGUGAUACACAAAGAACUGAUUUUCAAGAUGUGACAACAUUUAGGUCUCACUUAUCAGUGAAGCUCUCCUUAGGACCAUACUGUAUGGACUAACACUUUAUUAUUAGAAGGAGAAAUGGUAGCAGUGAGAAUUUCUUCAUAUUUGUAAUUUUUUAAAAUUUCAACCAUGCAUAUUAAAUGUAACUUUAAUCAGAGUUAAAACCAUUUCACAUGAUGAUCUUAAUUUACAAGUCAACAAAACUACAAAUAUGAAGGAAUAUUUGCAAUAACAGAGAUUAAAAGCAAUUAAUUUAUUUGAAAGUCAAUGAACAAUUUUUUUUUUCUUUUUUGGAGAUGGACUCUCACUCUG